RNAcentral lists this ribosomal RNA (465 nucleotides) under Vreelandella stevensii. RNAcentral describes it as "partial 16S ribosomal RNA". It matches the Rfam family "Bacterial small subunit ribosomal RNA", at positions 338 to 795 of the family's 1533-position model. Lineage: Bacteria; Pseudomonadati; Pseudomonadota; Gammaproteobacteria; Oceanospirillales; Halomonadaceae. The record is from RNAcentral.
CCUACGGGGGGCAGCAGUGGGGAAUAUUGGACAAUGGGGGGAACCCUGAUCCAGCCAUGCCGCGUGUGUGAAGAAGGCCCUCGGGUUGUAAAGCACUUUCAGUGAGGAAGAACGCCUGGUGGUUAAUACCCAUCAGGAAAGACAUCACUCACGGAAGAAGCACCGGCUAACUCCGUGCCAGCAGCCGCGGUAAUACGGAGGGUGCGAGCGUUAAUCGGAAUUACUGGGCGUAAAGCGCGCGUAGGUGGCUUGAUAAGCCGGUUGUGAAAGCCCCGGGCUCAACCUGGGAACGGCAUCCGGAACUGUCAAGCUAGAGUGCAGGAGAGGAAGGUAGAAUUCCCGGUGUAGCGGUGAAAUGCGUAGAGAUCGGGAGGAAUACCAGUGGCGAAGGCGGCCUUCUGGACUGACACUGACACUGAGGUGCGAAAGCGUGGGUAGCAAACAGGAUUAGAUACCCUAGUAGUC